AGAGGGUAAAAGCCCCGUAGUCGAAAGUUCAUUCUCUCUUGAGUGUAUCCUGAGUACGGCGGAACACGUGAAAUUCCGUCGGAAUCCGGGAGGACCAUCUCCCAAGGCUAAAUACUCCCUAGUGACCGAUAGUGAACCAGUACCGUGAGGGAAAGGUGAAAAGCACCCCGGGAGGGGAGUGAAAUAGAACCUGAAACCGUGUGCCUACAAGUAGUUAGAGCCCGUUAAUGGGUGAUAGCGUGCCUUUUGUAGAAUGAACCGGCGAGUUACGAUUACGUGCAAGGUUAAGUCGAGAAGAUGGAGCCGUAGCGAAAGCGAGUCUGAAUAGGGCGGUAUUAAGUACGUGGUCGUAGACCCGAAACCAGGUGAUCUACCCAUGUCCAGGGUGAAGGUGAGGUAACACUCACUGGAGGCCCGAACCCACGCACGUUGAAAAGUGCGGGGAUGAGGUGUGGGUAGCGGAGAAAUUCCAAUCGAACUUGGAGAUAGCUGGUUCUCUCCGAAAUAGCUUUAGGGCUAGCCUCGUGAUUAAGAAUACUGGAGGUAGAGCACUGUUUGGACUAGGGGCCCAUCUCGGGUUACCGAAUUCAGACAAACUCCGAAUGCCAGAUAUUUAUACACGGGAGUCAGACUGCGAGUGAUAAGAUCCGUAGUCAAAAGGGAAACAGCCCAGACCACCAGCUAAGGUCCCAAAGUAAUCGUUAAGUGGAAAAGGAUGUGGCGUUGCUUAGACAACCAGGAUGUUGGCUUAGAAGCAGCCAUCAUUUAAAGAGUGCGUAAUAGCUCACUGGUCGAGUGACGCUGCGCCGAAAAUGUAUCGGGGCUAAACGAUUCACCGAAGCUGUGGAUGGACAUCUUUGAUGUCCGUGGUAGGAGAGCGUUCUAAGGGCGUUGAAGUCAGACCGGAAGGACUGGUGGAGCGCUUAGAAGUGAGAAUGCCGGUAUGAGUAGCGAAAGAUGGGUGAGAAUCCCAUCCACCGUAUGACUAAGGUUUCCUGAGGAAGGCUCGUCCGCUCAGGGUUAGUCGGGACCUAAGUCGAGGCCGAUAGGCGUAGACGAUGGACAACAGGUUGAUAUUCCUGUACCACCUCCCCGCCGUUUGAGUAAUGGGGGGACGCAGUAGGAUAAGGUAAGCGCGCUGUUGGAUAUGCGCGCCCAAGCA
RNAcentral lists this ribosomal RNA (1162 nucleotides) under Lysinibacillus halotolerans. RNAcentral's name for it is "Bacterial large subunit ribosomal RNA". It matches the Rfam family "Bacterial large subunit ribosomal RNA", at positions 359 to 1518 of the family's 2925-position model. Lineage: Bacteria; Bacillati; Bacillota; Bacilli; Caryophanales; Bacillaceae. The record is from Rfam by way of RNAcentral.